RNAcentral lists this ribosomal RNA (492 nucleotides) under uncultured bacterium. Its description in RNAcentral is "partial 16S ribosomal RNA". It matches the Rfam family "Bacterial small subunit ribosomal RNA", at positions 29 to 507 of the family's 1533-position model. The record is from RNAcentral.
AGUGAACGCUGGCGGUAGGCCUAACACAUGCAAGUCGAACGGCAGCACAGUAAGAGCCUGCUCUUACGGGUGGCGAGUGGCGGACGGGUGAGGAAUACAUCGGAAUCUACUUUUUCGUGGGGGAUAACGUAGGGAAACUUACGCUAAUACCGCAUACGACCUACGGGUGAAAGCAGGGGAUCUUCGGACCUUGCGCGAUUGAAUGAGCCGAUGUCGGAUUAGCUAGUUGGCGGGGUAAAGGCCCACCAAGGCGACGAUCCGUAGCUGGUCUGAGAGGAUGAUCAGCCACACUGGAACUGAGACACGGUCCAGACUCCUACGGGAGGAAGCAGUGGGGAAUAUUGGACAAUGGGCGCAAGCCUGAUCCAGCCAUACCGCGUGGGCGAAGAAGGCCUUCGGGUUGUAAAGCCCUUUUGUUGGGAAAGAAAAGCAGCAGGUUAAUACCCCGCUGUUCUGACGGUACCCAAAGAAUAAGCACCGGCUAACUUCGUG